CAGUCGCCGCGGGAAUACGUAGGUGGCAAGCGUUGUCCGGAAUUAUUGGGCGUAAAGGGCUCGCAGGCGGACUGAUAAGUCAGGGGUGAAAUCCCAAGGCUCAACCUUGGAACUGCCUUUGAUACUGUUUGUCUUGAGUUCGAGAGAGGUAAGUGGAACCGCGAGUGUAGAGGUGAAAUUCGUAGAUAUUCGCAAGAACACCAGUGGCGAAGGCGGCUUACUGGCUCGAAACUGACGCUGAGGCGCGAAAGCGUGGGGAGCAAACAGGAUUAGAUACCCCCGUAGUCCCUGUCUCUUAUAC
Molecule: ribosomal RNA, 301 nt
Filed under: uncultured bacterium
Lineage: Bacteria
Description: partial 16S ribosomal RNA
Rfam family: Bacterial small subunit ribosomal RNA
Source: RNAcentral